CUACAGUGACUAUUCAGAUUGCAAUAAUCCACCAUUCUAGUAGGUGGGGGCUUAGCCGUCUAUAUUGGGUUCAGAAAAAAAUAACGUGCUAUUUCUUGUAGAAAAAAACAAAAAAUAUGAAAUAAUGCAGUAAAAACAAAAAGUGAAAUAUGUUAUGAGAGGUGAAGUUUGAACGACAGGAGUUCAGAGGAGAACUGGCUCACUUAUCACUCCAGGUGGUGGGGUGGGGCGAGGGGACAAAGG
Molecule: long non-coding RNA, 243 nt
Filed under: Bos taurus (domestic cattle)
Lineage: Eukaryota; Metazoa; Chordata; Mammalia; Artiodactyla; Bovidae
Description: long non-coding RNA NONBTAT023185
Source: RNAcentral